Molecule: non-coding RNA, 148 nt
Filed under: Nomascus leucogenys (northern white-cheeked gibbon)
Lineage: Eukaryota; Metazoa; Chordata; Mammalia; Primates; Hylobatidae
Source: Rfam by way of RNAcentral
GCUGGGUGUGGUGGCGCAUGCCUGUAAUCCCAGCUACUCAGGAGGCUGAGGCAGGGGAAUUGCUUGAACCCAGGAGGUAGAGGUUGCAGUGAGCCGAGAUUGUGCCACUGCACUCCAGCCUGGGCAACAGAGCAAGACACUGUCUCAA